GGCCAGACUCCUACGGGAGGCAGCAGUGGGGAAUAUUGCACAAUGGGGGGAACCCUGAUGCAGCGACGCCGCGUGGGUGAAGAAGCGCCUCGGCGCGUAAAGCCCUGUCAGCAGGGAAGAAAAUGACGGUACCUGAAGAAGAAGCCCCGGCUAACUACGUGCCAGCAGCCGCGGUAAUACGUAGGGGGCAAGCGUUAUCCGGAUUUACUGGGUGUAAAGGGGGCGCAGACGGCGAUGCAAGCCAGGAGUGAAAGCCCGGGGCCCAACCCCGGGACUGCUCUUGGAACUGCGUGGCUGGAGUGCAGGAGGGGCAGGCGGAAUUCCUGGUGUAGCGGUGAAAUGCGUAGAUAUCAGGAGGAACACCGGUGGCGAAGGCGGCCUGCUGGACUGCAACUGACGUUGAGGCCCGAAAGCGUGGGGAGCAAACAGGAUUAGAUACCCUAGUAU
RNAcentral lists this ribosomal RNA (447 nucleotides) under uncultured bacterium. RNAcentral's name for it is "partial 16S ribosomal RNA". It matches the Rfam family "Bacterial small subunit ribosomal RNA", at positions 329 to 793 of the family's 1533-position model. The record is from RNAcentral.